This 467-nucleotide long non-coding RNA is filed under the name Olea europaea (common olive). RNAcentral describes it as "long non-coding RNA (OEUR_LNC012258)". Lineage: Eukaryota; Viridiplantae; Streptophyta; Magnoliopsida; Lamiales; Oleaceae. The record is from RNAcentral.
GGAUACGACUUUACCAUUUUUCAGCGUCGCUGCAAUCGAUUUUCACAAAUUUACACAAUUCAAAUAACCAUCUUGUAAAAAAAAAUAAUAAUAAUAAUAAAAUAAACAUGUGCAUUCAUACAAAAGAGUUCAAAUCUAAUCAAAUAAAGCAGAAAUUGAAGGCGAAUUCUGAUACCGGAAACUCUAUACUCCUAGGAGGAGAGUCUGACACGGAAAGGCAGUAAACUGAAAAUGAAAGGGAGUCCGAGGGAUUAUAUGGGGAAAUGGACCGCUAGAGUGUCGUGCAUGGCGGACUGUAUAGUUAGAAACUUUAUGGGUGGCGAGGGAAAAUGGGAAAAUGAGAUUAUAGCCGGUAAUAUUGGACAAUUUGUUCCGAGAACAAAAUCAUAUUUUGACAUUUUCUUUCGCGACUUACGGGAUCAAGUUUCUUCUUGAUUUUAUGAAAUUAAAAAAUGAUCUCAUCUCAU